RNAcentral lists this transfer RNA (72 nucleotides) under Bos taurus (domestic cattle). It matches the Rfam family "tRNA". Rfam says of the family: Transfer RNA (tRNA) molecules are approximately 80 nucleotides in length. Their secondary structure includes four short double-helical elements and three loops (D, anti-codon, and T loops). The record is from Rfam by way of RNAcentral. Lineage: Eukaryota; Metazoa; Chordata; Mammalia; Artiodactyla; Bovidae. RNAcentral also lists the same sequence under 4 other names.
UCCCUUGUGGCUCAGCUGGUAAAGAGCCCUCCUGCAAUGUGGGAGAUCUGGGUUUGAUUCCUUGCUUGGGAA